Unclassified non-coding RNA from Vombatus ursinus (common wombat), 307 nucleotides. It matches the Rfam family "Metazoan signal recognition particle RNA". From Rfam's summary of the family: The signal recognition particle (SRP) is a universally conserved ribonucleoprotein. It is involved in the co-translational targeting of proteins to membranes. The record is from Ensembl. NCBI's taxonomy places the organism in Eukaryota, Metazoa, Chordata, Mammalia, Diprotodontia, Vombatidae.
GCCUGGUGUGGUAGACCAUGCCUGUAAUCCCUGCUCCUGGAGAGGCUGAGGUCAGUGGAUUACUUGGGCUCAGGAGUUUUGGACUGCAGUUAGGCUAAAGUUGAUCAAGUGUCUGCACAAAGUCUGAUACCAAUAUGGUGAGUCCCUCUGGAAGCAAGAGGCCUCCAGGCCACCUAAAGAGGGGCAAACCCAUUCAGGUUAGAAAUGGAGCAGGUCAAAGCUCCCCUGCCAAUUAAUAGUUGGAUUGGGCCUGAGAGUAGCCACUCAACUUCUGGCCUAUAUGCAAGAUAGGGAGACCUAGUCUCCA